Mytilus californianus (California mussel) is the source of this 1875-nucleotide long non-coding RNA. RefSeq lists it as uncharacterized. The record is from RefSeq and is a predicted model, not a curated record. The transcript is spliced from 3 exons. NCBI's taxonomy places the organism in Eukaryota, Metazoa, Mollusca, Bivalvia, Mytilida, Mytilidae.
AUGCAUUUUUCUGAAAAUUUAGAUUUGGUUAAAAAGAAAAAAGAAAAGAAAUUAAAGAAUGAAUGAAUUUAUAUGAGAAAAUGACAAAAAAAAAUAGAAGAUUAAUGGUCGACUGGAAUCGAUUGUAGUCAUAAUUUUCCAAAUCAAGACAUUAUUAAAGAGAAUUCUGUGGGAGGAAGAUUUAUAUGAUAAUACCAGAUGUUGGUAGAGAAAGUACAUAGAUCAUUGGACUUAUAUUUUAUCCUCAAUUACACUAUUAUUUGCAUUCUGUCAAAGAAAUAGUGAAGAAAUCGGUCAUUGGCUGAAUUAUUUUGAAAUAUCCCUUUAGGGAAGAAAAUAAUCUUUUAUUGUGAUAAUGUGGUAUUUUGUUGUAUUAAACUUUGUUUUAUUUGCUCUUUCCCUCCAUAUGUUUCUGAAUACUAAGUCAAUAACCAAGUCCCUGGAUAAUAAGUUUAGGAAGUCUGCCCUGAAGUGUCAUUGAAGGGGGAUUUAAAUUUUGGUAAAUUAAACAUCCUAAGUAGGUCAACUAGUGGAUGAUCCACUUAUAUUUGAAUGGACCAACAUUCAAUUAAAUACUUCACAUUCUCUUCUGGGUUUUAUUUAUGGCCUUAUCCAAUCCUUCUAUUUAUAUAAAAGGUUUGAUGACUUUGGGAUAGAAAAUUUAUAGAAAUUGUUCUGUAUUUUGUAGAAUUUAUGCACUUGCUGAUAGCUUAGAUUAACAUAUUCUUUAUGAAAUUAGUUUAUAACUUAAAUAUUGUGUAAUGGAAUUUCUCCUGGUUAGAUUGGCAAACAGAUUGUAACAAAAUUUUUAAUGGGAAAAGUUAAAAGGCAUUUAAGAAACUACAAAUCCUUGACCUGUAUCACAUGCAGAUUUAUUAACAAUGAAAAUAAAUUUGGUGAGUCCUAAGUACUUUUCUGGAAAUACCUUCAUCACGAAAACACGAAACCAAAAAUUUGAAAGCCAGGAAUGAAUAAGUACUUUAGGAGCUAUAUGACCAAAAGAGAAGCAAAACAGAAUAGCCCUAACAAUCUAAGGUCAACUAGGCCUGAGGGAGCCCAAAUCAUCGAGGGUCAACUAGGCCUAAGGUAGCCCAAACCAUCUAAGGUCAACUAGGCCUGAGGGAGCCCAAACCAUCUAAGGUCAACUAGGCCUGAGGGAGCCCAAACCAUCUAAGGUCAACUAGGCCUGAGGGAGCCCAAACCAUCUAAGGUCAACUAGGCCUGAGGGAGCCCAAACCAUCUAAGGUCAACUAGGCCUGAGGGAGCCCAAACCAUCUUAAUGUCAACUAGGCCUGAGGGAGCCCAAACCAUCUAAGGUCAACUAGGCCUGAGAGAGCCCAAACCAUCUAAGGUCAACUAGGCCUGAGGGAGCCCAAACCAUCUAAGGUCAACUAGGCCUGAGGGAGCCCAAACCAUCUAAGGUCAACUAGGCCUGAGGGAGCCCAAACCAUCUAAGGUCAACUAUGUCUGAGGGACCCCAAACCAGCUUAAAGGUCAACUAUACCUGAAGUCAACUAAGGCCUGAGGGAGUUGGAUCCUUAUAAUUACUUUCUUAAUGAUUUCUUAAUUUACCAAUGGAAAAUUUAGGAAAUGUAUAAUAUGAAUCAUGUCAGUGGUGUAUCUUUAUUUAGUGAAGGUUUUACAGAUAAAAAAAAUAAAGCAAAAGAUGCAAAUGUUAAGGAAGGAAGUUGUUACUGUUGUCUUUAGGAAGAUUUUUAAGCAAAAUGUGUUUUUUUUUAUUAUAAGUUAUAUCUGUACUGGAGACAGAAGUUGUCUUUUGAUUUUGUUGGUCUUCUAAUGUCUGCACAUAUGGUUGAUGUAAGUGAUCUUUGAUCAUCUGUUGUUCCAAAGUACAGAAUACAGACUUAUUGUUAU